AUGUGUUAUGAUAUUCCCUUCGUGGUCGGGCUUUGUCUUUCGUUUUGCAUUUUGUUCAUGUCAUGCAUUUCAUAUCAUGUCAUUAUGUGCAUUUCAUUUGCAUACGUGUUCGUCUCAUGCAUCCGAGCAUUUUUUCCGUUGUCCGUUUUGCAAUCCGGCGCUCCCAUCUCCUCCGGCGCACCCCUCUUGUUUUCUUUCAUGAGCGGGUGUCAAACAUUCUCGGAAUGGACCGAGGUUUGUCAAGUGGCCUUGGUAUACCAUCGGGAGGCCACCGGUCAAGUUUCGUUCCAUUUGGAGGUCGUUUGGUACUCCAACGGUUAA
This 321-nucleotide ribosomal RNA is filed under the name Triticum aestivum (bread wheat). RNAcentral describes it as "partial small subunit ribosomal RNA". The record is from RNAcentral. Lineage: Eukaryota; Viridiplantae; Streptophyta; Magnoliopsida; Poales; Poaceae.